CCACAGUGUGAUGCCUCAUCAUAUAUUUGAUUAGCAUUGAAAUUAUAACGUAAAAGAGUCGUAAAAUGACAGUGACAAUUUCAGUAUAGGUGCAUUUAAUAUCAUAAUUUUAAUCAGUAUAAAAAGAUGUUGUAGAGCAAGUUAAGGCUACAGAUAAGCAUUGAGUCACUUUCACAUUCGCUUGUAUAUGUAGAUGACUUUGUUGCAGUUAGGACAGCGGUGCUCCACAUCUUUGCAGGAAUCAACACAGAACGGG
This is a long non-coding RNA of Sander lucioperca (pikeperch), 256 nucleotides long. RefSeq lists it as uncharacterized. The transcript is spliced from 2 exons. The record is from RefSeq and is a predicted model, not a curated record. NCBI's taxonomy places the organism in Eukaryota, Metazoa, Chordata, Actinopteri, Perciformes, Percidae.